This is a non-coding RNA of Podarcis lilfordi (Lilford's wall lizard), 74 nucleotides long. NCBI's taxonomy places the organism in Eukaryota, Metazoa, Chordata, Lepidosauria, Squamata, Lacertidae. The record is from the annotation of a GenBank genome assembly.
UCCCAGAUAGCUCAGUUGGUAGGGUGUGAGACUCUUUAAGCUUAGGGUCGUGGAUUUGAGCUUCACGCUGGGCA